GCCCGACUGGCGCAAUUGGCUAGCGCAUACGACUUCUAUGAGAACUUUUCAAAAAACCUAAUCACAUGGGAUAGGGAAGGGGAGUGGAUCGAGACAUCGUGAGGUUGUGGGUUCGAGUCCCACGUGGGGCU
Schizothecium vesticola is the source of this 131-nucleotide non-coding RNA. The record is from the annotation of a GenBank genome assembly. Lineage: Eukaryota; Fungi; Ascomycota; Sordariomycetes; Sordariales; Schizotheciaceae.